CGGGACAGGGAGGCGAAUUUCCCGCCCGCCUUGGGGCGGCCAAAUGUCUGAAGCUGGCCCUGCCUGGAAUGCAUUCAUCUGGGAGCUGAGCUGACGUGGCCUUACCAGUUCUUUUCCCCUGGAAGUGAGAGCGCUCCACCUCCCUCCAGCUCUGCCCCGAAGACUUCUCUGAACUUCCCUGCCUCUUCAUUCCCAUCCUCCUCCAUCCUGCCACUCUGCUAUAGUUUUCAUCACCUCCACCCCGACGCAACACCUUAUUCUCCACUCCCUUCUUAUCCACCUUGGAGUUAGUAGAGAAGAAAAGGCCUUUCUUCAGGUCUUGCCGCUUCACCUCUCCGGAGUGAUGAUCUGAAGAAAGGACACUGGAGUCAGGACGGGAUAGUACGGUUGCUACCUCCCAGUCAUGGGAAUCGGCCCCAGGUGGAAAAGGGAAGCAGGGAAGUGCCAGCAACUUUUUCCUGUCCCCAGCUGGCUGCUGCCUGGAGUUGGGGGAUGGUAUCCACACACACCUGGUCAAGGAAGUGGUUCCUUAGGUAAUCCAUGGCCUGCAGGAUGCCUCUCGGGAGGGGCUGGCUGGUCCGCUGGACGUUGAGGAGCAGUGGGACACCAAACACUUUCCUGUCCUUGUAA
Long non-coding RNA from Ornithorhynchus anatinus (platypus), 630 nucleotides. RefSeq lists it as uncharacterized. NCBI's taxonomy places the organism in Eukaryota, Metazoa, Chordata, Mammalia, Monotremata, Ornithorhynchidae. The transcript has 2 exons. The record is from RefSeq and is a predicted model, not a curated record.